UGCGGAGUCCCCGCCCUGCGUAGUGCGU
RNAcentral lists this non-coding RNA (28 nucleotides) under Mus musculus (house mouse). The record is from RNAcentral. Lineage: Eukaryota; Metazoa; Chordata; Mammalia; Rodentia; Muridae.